Molecule: non-coding RNA, 3300 nt
Organism: Aegilops tauschii subsp. strangulata
Lineage: Eukaryota; Viridiplantae; Streptophyta; Magnoliopsida; Poales; Poaceae
Source: RefSeq, a predicted model, not a curated record
CCUCCUCGAGAAAUCACGCCACAUUGUCAAUAUUUGUGCCAUGGUUUGUCAAUUGCAUCAUUCCAAAAAACGGUUUGAAAGUUUCAUAAAAAUAUGCUCCUCCAUCAUUCAAUAAGAAUUUCGCCGUUUUCAAAAUUGAUCUUAAACCAUAAGGAAUCCGGAAAAAUGUUCCACAUGAAAAAUUUAUGCCUGCUCAACAUUUUUUGAAUGGCAUACUGGUUCCACCAAUCCAACAAGCGGCGAGUAUAGUAGAGCCAAAAGGAAACUACUCUGUGGACGACAGUUUGCCGGCCGGACAACGCACGAUGGAGCAGUGAACGGUGCUAUUCACUUUUGCUGUACGCAUGGACGGUUUUGAUUGCUGCAUCGUGUGCGAAUCGUCCAGAACUUGUCGUCCGCCUAGCAGUUCUCGAGCCAAAAUAGCAUUGAUAAUUAACGUAAAACAACUCCGACGACCCCCUCCUCCUCGUAACCACCGUCUGUACCGACUCUUCCCAAACCUGCAGAGCAGAGCACCACCGCCGCGACGGCAAGCUAAAGCAGCAUCUGUCCUCGAUCGGGACAGCCAUGGGCCGACAGCCAUGGGCCCAUGGCGGCCGCACCCUCGCCGCCACGCCCUCGCCUCUCCCUCCGGCAUCUUGGAGACGUCCGCCCGAGGGAUCCAGCCUCCGCUCCCCCCGGAAUCCCGCCGCCUCCCCGCAAAGCUCUCGCGCCCGUCGCCAGAGCCGCGUGCGCGCCGGCGCCGGCGCGAGGCGGCGGUGACGCGACGGAGGAGCCGGGCCAGGCGCCCGGCGACUGGGCGCGCUCCUGGGCUCCGCCGCCCUGCUCGGCUGCCGCCGAGGACUCCAUCAAGGCGUCCGGGUUCGGGCUGCGGAGCCUCGGCUGGCCCGACGAUGCCGUCGUGGUCACACCUGCCACAUCGCCGGUGCUCGAGCUGUGGGGAGCAAUUCCGGCCGGCUGACUGUCCUAGCAGUUUUGAGCAUCGUCCUCCAGGUUGGAUUGUUCAACUCUCUCAUGUUCCAGUUAAGGAGCUCUAUAUUCCAUUGAAGAAAACAACGCGGUGAACAAACAAGAAGAUUGUAUUGAGCAUCCACCAACUGGAAGCAGCAACCAGAGGCGACAUAACCAGCACAGCCGGAGCCAAAGGACCACAAGGCACAAUACUCCCCGCCUGGUUUUGGGAACGGCUUUAAUGGCGUGGCUGAUGGUUUUGCUCGAGUGGCAUGCACCUCACCUUGGUUUUGCACAUACGGGUAGUAUUCCGCCUUCCUCCUCCUGUCUCUCUCCUCCCUUCCCUCCACCUCAUCCUAUCAUCACUGAUCAAUCCCGAAAUCCAAUCCAUGCCACUCACACGUCGACUAUCUGAGAGCCUCUGGCUGUUGCGCUCCAGGAAAAGGCGGUCGAGCAUCGCUGCCCGCAGCGGUUGCACGUCUUUACCGGCCUGGGCGCGCUGGCUCUCCUUUUCGCUCUCCGUCCAGCACACAAAGCCCACUGAUAACUCCAUGUUGUGUCGGUGACUCGGUGUUGAAGUCGGCUGCACAGCACGCCUACCAGUGAGAGCUGUCCAUCGCCUCCUUCUCACCGACUUUGCUUAUCACCUCUGAAUAGCAGUGAGACGAUUCCAUCCCCUCUCCUUUUGAUUUGCUCGUUUGAGGAAUUCUGGGGACCGUUAAUCCAUUGCACUAGACGGAUCCGUGCAUGCGAUUAAUUCUUGGUUGGAAGCAAUGUGCUAUGGGGAUUGCAUGAAUCUAGUACAACUUAUACCAGCAUAACCGAAGCACUGAAUCCCUUGGGUUUGUAACAGGAGUAGAUGGUAGAGAUCCAAAUCGUAAGAUGGUUGUCAAGAUGAAAGCUUGUAAUGUCACAAACUUGUCUUUGUGGUAACUACUAGUACAAGAUACAAGAUGGGAGUUUCACUGCCGUAAGAUGGUAGAUAUCCAUGUUACGAUACUACAAUGGGGAUGCACAGUACAGCAGUCUGUAACAACAUUCCAUAAGAUGUUUGUGUUCCGUUCCGUUCGAAAAGGAAGAAGGUGGACAUUGGCAGUACUUCCUCCUUCCGUACCUGCCCAUUGAAAGAAACGGACAAAAGCCAUUCCACAGAAAUUACCCAAGGGAAGCAAGGGGAGAUGAUACGGUCAAACAAAAGAGUAAAAAGGACCGGAGGGAGUACUACUCGGCUUUGGAGCCCGGCAGGAAGAUCACCGGAGCCCAGCCCCAGACCUGCGUCUCCAUCCUCCUCUGUCGCCUGCCUGCAGCCUGCGUGUUACUGUUCCCCAACCCCAAUCCCAACGGAAGCCAGGGAAGGUAAAAGUUGGUGGGGGAGGGAAGGAAAGGGAUGCACGGGCAAUGCCAUUGCCAAUGGAAGGAAGGCCGACAAGGGACCAGGAGCCAGGUGCGAAUCAUCUGCUCUGCUGCAUGCAGUGCCACGGCUGGCCCGCGCUGCCGAGCCGAGCGUGGACUGGAGUUGGUCCCUCUCCCUCGCUCGUUGCUCUCACUGGUCGCACGGGCCUACAUGUACAUGGCAACUACGCCUUCGUCCUCUUGCUCCUCUCUUAAAUGGGAUUUCUCCAACACGUUCCUUGCGUCCAGUCCACUGCUGCACCAGACCACGGCCGGCCCACAGUACCUCUCCCCGCCGCUUCCCGGGCUACCGAGCCGCUCGGAAGUAGGCUGCGUGCUUGCCCGCAAGCACGGCAUGAAGUGGGAAGCGCCGCUCCCAGCUGACCGCAGACAUGUCGGAUCCAGUCACAGUCUCCGGCUCCCCAUCCUCGGCAGCACCCUACAGCCUCGCCCUUGAUGGCACUGCGGCCACAACCGACGCCGUCAAGUCUGUUCUCACCGGAGGACUCGAGAGCCGGUCGGAAGUAGGCGGCGUGCGCUCACCCGCCGCGUGCAUCCUCCGUGUGCUGCAGCGAUGGAUGCCAUGAUCUCGGCCAGGGGUGCGCUGCGUACGUCUCCUUGUACGCAUCUGCCCAUCGGUCUCUCCAUGCCCGCGCGCCGGCCGCAAGAUCGAGUACAGGACGCCGCCGGCCCGUCCAUGCUGUUCCUCACGUCUCCGUCCGUCCGUCCGGCAAGUGCGCGGCCUACUUCCCACACCGUGCAAGGCGCCGGAGGGCUCGUUGCCUAAUUUUGCUAUGUCGAGGUGAUGGCCGGCCCGCGGUGCAAAAAGGGAGCCGGAGAUGAUCGGGAUUGCAUCACGGCACGAAGAUGCACGACCUCCUUUUCUUUGGUUGAGUGUACGACGGGAACUUCUUUGAUUCAUCACGCUAAUAAUCAAUGGCUUGUAGUUGUUGGUGA